This 419-nucleotide ribosomal RNA is filed under the name uncultured bacterium. RNAcentral's name for it is "partial 16S ribosomal RNA". It matches the Rfam family "Bacterial small subunit ribosomal RNA", at positions 360 to 776 of the family's 1533-position model. The record is from RNAcentral.
AAUAUUGGACAAUGGGUGCAAGCCUGAUCCAGCCAUCCCGCGUGAAGGAUUAAGGNCCNNUGGAUNGNAAACUUCUUUUAUACNNNNNUAAACCUCUCCUCGUGAGGAGAGCUGAAGGUACUGUAUGAAUAAGCACCGGCUAACUCCGUGCCAGCAGCCGCGGUAAUACGGAGGGUGCAAGCGUUAUCCGGAUUUAUUGGGUUUAAAGGGUCCGUAGGCGGGCCGAUAAGUCAGUGGUGAAAUCUCGCAGCUUAACUGUGAAACUGCCAUUGAUACUGUUGGUCUUGAGUAAAUUUGAAGUGGCUGGAAUAAGUAGUGUAGCGGUGAAAUGCAUAGAUAUUACUUAGAACACCAAUUGCGAAGGCAGGUCACUAAGAUUUAACUGACGCUGAUGGACGAAAGCGUGGGUAGCGAACAGA